This 1523-nucleotide long non-coding RNA is filed under the name Pongo abelii (Sumatran orangutan). RNAcentral's name for it is "lincRNA". The stretch from base 195 to 267 matches the Rfam family "mir-675 microRNA precursor family". The record is from RNAcentral. Lineage: Eukaryota; Metazoa; Chordata; Mammalia; Primates; Hominidae.
UCCGGCACGGCUUUCUCAGGCCUAUGCCGGAGCCUCGAGGGCUGGAGAGCGGGAAGACAGGCAGUGCUCGGGGAGUCGCAGCGUGACGUCAUCAGGAGGGUGAAGCGCCCACGGGAGGGGGGCCCCGGGACAUUGCGCAGCAAGGAGGCUGCAGGGGCUCGGCCUGCGGGCGCCGGUCCCACGAGGCACUGCGGCCCAGGGUCUGGUGCGGAGAGGGCCCACAGUGGACUUGGUGACGCUGUAUGCCCUCACCGCUCAGCCCCUGGGGCUGGCUUGGCAGACAGUACAGCAUCCAGGGGAGUCAAGGGCAUGGGGCGAGACCAGACUAGGCGAGGCGGGCGGGGCGGAGUGAAUGAGCUUUCAGGAGGGAGGCUGGUGCAGGCAGGGGUGAGGAGCGCAGCGGGCGGCGAGCGGGAGGCACUGGCCUCCAGAGCCCGUGGCCAAGGUGGGCCUCGCGGGCGGCGACGGAGCCGGGAUCGGUGCCUCAGCGUUCGGGCUGGAGACGAGGGUGACCAGGUCUCCAGCUGGGGUGGAUGUGCCCACCAGCUGCCGAAGGCCAGGACGCCAGGUCCGGUGGACGUGCCAAGCGGGACAUGACAUGGUCCGGUGUGACGGCGAGGACAGAGGAGGCGCGUCUGGCCUUCCUGAACACCUUAGGCUGGUGGGGCUGCGGCGAGAAGCGGGUCUGUUUCUUUACUUCCUCCACGGAGUCGGCACACUACGGCUGCCCUCUGGGCUCCCAGAACCCACAACAUGAAAGGUGCGGGGCUUCCUGCCACACCUGGGGUGGGGGGCACGCGAGAGGAGCUGAGUGGGACCUCACUCCUUCCCCAUCCACAGAAAUGGUGCUACCCAGCUCAAGCCUGGGCCUUUGAAUCCGGACACAAAACCCUCUAGCUUGGAAAGGAAUAUGCUGCACUUUACAACCACUGCACUACCUGACUCAGGAAUCGGCUCUGGAAGGUGAAGCUAGAGGAACGAGACCUCAUCAACCCAACACCAAAGACACCAUCGGAACAGCAGCGCCCGCAGCACCCACCCCCCACCGGCAACUCCAUCUUCAUGGCCACCCCCUGCGGCGGACGGUUGACCACCAGCCACCACGUCAUCCCAGAGCUGAGCUCCUCCAGCGGGAUGACCCCGUCCCCACCACCUCCCUCUUCUUCUUUUUCAUCCUUCUGUCUCUUUGUUUCUGAGCUUUCCUGUCUUUCCUUUUUCUGAGAGAUUCAAAGCCUCCACGACUCUGUUUCCCCCGUCCCUUCUGAAUUUAAUUUGCACUAAGUCAUUUGCACUGGUUGGAGUUGUGGAGACGGCCUUGAGUCUCGGUGUGAGUGUGCGUGAGUGUGAGCCACCUUGGCAAGUGCCCGCCCAGAGACCGGCCGCCCUCCAUCUGGGCCGGGUGACUGGGCGCCGGCUGUGUGCCCGAGGCCUCACCCUGCCCUCGCCUAGUCUGGAAGCUCCGACCGACAUCACGGAGCAGCCUUCAAGCAUUCCAUUACGCCCCAUCUCGCUCUGUGCCCCUC